UACAUGGGGUGCAAACGUUGCUCGGAAUUAUUGGGCGUAAAGCGCACGUAGGCGGUCCGUUAAGUCGGAUGUGAAAGCCCCCGGCUCAACCGGGGAAGUGCAUCCGAAACUGGCAGGCUAGAGUACGAAAGAGGGUCGCGGAAUUUCCGGUGUAGAGGUGAAAUUCGUAGAUAUCGGGAGGAACACCGGUGGCGAAGGCGGCGACCUGGGUCGAUACUGACGCUGAGGUGCGAAAGCGUGGGGAGCAAACAGG
RNAcentral lists this ribosomal RNA (253 nucleotides) under uncultured bacterium. Its description in RNAcentral is "partial 16S ribosomal RNA". It matches the Rfam family "Bacterial small subunit ribosomal RNA", at positions 524 to 776 of the family's 1533-position model. The record is from RNAcentral.